Molecule: long non-coding RNA, 1270 nt
Organism: Polypterus senegalus (gray bichir)
Lineage: Eukaryota; Metazoa; Chordata; Cladistia; Polypteriformes; Polypteridae
Exons: 3
Source: RefSeq, a predicted model, not a curated record
AGGAGAUGGAUGGACACAGACAUACAAAACAUGGGCAGGGCAAAGAAAGAGAGGAGGAGGAGGGAAUGCAGAUAACAAAACCAAUGGACACUCAUUAGGGGCUGGACAUGAAAAAUAGACCCGGAGAAGCCAAUGGACACAGAGAUCAGGGGGCUGGACAAGAGGCACAAGAGGAAAAAAAACUGUCUAAUGAUUGCAGUGGGCAUUGAUCAGGGGGCUGGACGUGAAAAAUAGACCAAGAGAAGCCAAUGGACAACGGAUAAGGGGGUUGGACAUACAAGCAGAAAAAAGAGUCUAAUUAAAGCUGUCGCAGUGGACAUUGAUCAGGGACCUGGGCACGGACCAGAGUGCACAAAAAUAAGUAAAUAAAAGCCGUGGGCCACAAAGCAGCAAGCACAGGGGAAAGAAGAUUUAAAAAGAAGUACUGUCAGACCAGCGCGAGCGAGCCAAAGUUUAAGCAAGUGUGUGUGAAGGGUUGCGCGACACGCGUUGGAAGCCGGACAGUACACUUUAAAUAUUUCGAGUUACCUAUAGGAUGCCUUAAAAUAGUUUUAUCGAGACUCGAUGGAUCCAGUGCUGUAAAUCGAAAGCUGUAACAACAGGUCAUAGAAAUGCACGGGGCUGAAAAGGCGGGUCGCCAGCGGAUAGGCGGGGGUAACAAGGCGUGGGUAUGCUGGGGUGCGUCUAGUAACUUUAAAGGUGGACAGUGCCGAGGCAGAGAGCGCUGACAGGUUUUAUUUGCUGUCAGUCCAUGGCUGCAUUUAGAAAUGUGUGUCAGGACACUAAUUUAAAGCUGCAGUUUGAAACGUCUAAAGAUGAGAAACCAGAAGAAGAAAAAUAGCAAUCAAUAGAAUAAAGCGUCCUUUCUUGUAAGGUGCAUGCUUAGAAGUGCACCGCGUAUUCAAUUAAAGCGGAGCGCCGAAAAUAACCGAGUCAAGUAAUAAUAGAAAAAGUAAUAAGACUAGUGGCUAUGUAAGAGAAUCACAAGAGCGAUUUGUAAUGAAAACGUGAGGCAGACGCGGAGCUGGGGUGGGAUACAAAGGGGAAGGGGGAAAAAAUCAAUGGGAUUUGAAGAGGGAGAGGAUCGGGGAGGAAGCUGAGCGGUGGAGACAAACCCUGGAGCAGCUGAGAAAAAUGUUGAUCUAACUGAACAGGUAAAGCUUGAAUAAGAAGGACUACCAAUUAGGACUGUGAACAUCUAUAAGAAGAGGAGAAUAAAGAGAUACUCUAUGAAGAAUAAAAAACCAAACCCGGGAGGUUCCACCUGUCU